RNAcentral lists this ribosomal RNA (253 nucleotides) under uncultured bacterium. RNAcentral's name for it is "partial 16S ribosomal RNA". It matches the Rfam family "Bacterial small subunit ribosomal RNA", at positions 524 to 776 of the family's 1533-position model. The record is from RNAcentral.
UACGGAGGGGGCUAGCGUUGUUCGGAAUUACUGGGCGUAAAGCGCACGUAGGCGGCUUUGUAAGUUAGAGGUGAAAGCCCAGGGCUUAACCCUGGAAUUGCCUUUAAGACUGCAUCGCUAGAAUCGUGGAGAGGUGAGUGGAAUUCCGAGUGUAGAGGUGAAAUUCGUAGAUAUUCGCAAGAACACCAGUGGCGAAGGCGGCUCACUGGCCCGAUACUGACGCUGAGGUGCGAAAGCGUGGGGAGCAAACAGG